AGGUAGUCUGCGAAUCGCAGUAUUGUUAAAUUGGGUGAAGAAUGCAAGCUUAAAUAACUGCUAGGGUAAAGAUCCACAUGAAUUAAGGUCUAAGAUUUGGGAAAUUUGGAGGCAAAACACUCGGAAUCUUUAAAUUGGCUGCUCUAAGAAUUUGAACCAUAUUUGAAGAUGAUAAAAUUCAGGUUUCUUCUUUAUUUGCUGCUGUCCUACCUCUCUGGGGUCUGGGUUGUAUCGGCCCUUUUGCUAGAUAUUUUAUUUGCUGGAAAAUGCAGAAUAUCAAAUUGCCUUUUCUUUCAGCCUUGUUCUGAAUUCUUUUUGAGAUCCUUUUUAUGCAUACAGUCCUUGCUUUUCUCCUAGACUCCAUCAGCACUGAUCAGGAGCUUGUGAUUUGUUGAGAA
Molecule: unclassified non-coding RNA, 398 nt
Filed under: Hevea brasiliensis (rubber tree)
Lineage: Eukaryota; Viridiplantae; Streptophyta; Magnoliopsida; Malpighiales; Euphorbiaceae
Source: RNAcentral